UGGUCGGAACUGUCGGAAGGAAAUUGAUGUUUACCGUGGAAAAUCAUUAUUGUGGGAUCCUCAAUAAAGAACCAUUUAAUUUAAAGAAACAACUUAAAUCCGAUCUGAACGGAAAUAGAAGCUGAAAUAAAAAAAUGUACAUGCGGACCUUUUUAAAAAAUGUUAGUUCAUUGUUCUACUAAAAAUAACAUGUAUUAAAAAUAAGAUUUAUUAUUUUAUUUGGGCAUAAGCCACAAUUCGAGUUUGAAAUCAAGUUUACUUGACCUUUCUACUUUCACUUCGGAAAUAGUUAUCAAUAUCAAAAUAACAUUCAUAAGCAGAUAUAUAUUAUGUGUCACCGGAAAGCGAAAUAGGUAACGCACUACUUGGAGAACCUAUAGUUUUCUAACUUCGUGUCUGGUGAAGCAACGCAGUUGAAACAAGCGGAUAUAUUAUAAUUGUGUCACCGGAAAGCGAAAAAGGUAAGGCACAACUUGGAAGACCCAAUAAUUUUCUAACUUCGCUUCUGGUGAAGCAACAGAGUUGGAACAAGCAGAUAUAUUAUAAUUGGGUCACCGGAAAGCCAAAAAGGUAACGCACAACUUGGAAGACCCAAUAGUUUUCUAACUUCGCUUCUGGUGAAGCAACGGAGUUGGAACAAGCAGAUAUAUUAUAAUUAUGUCACCGGAAAACGAAAAAGGUAACGCACAACUUGGAAGAGCCUAUAGUUUCCUAACUUCGCUUCUGGUGAAGCAACGGAGUUGGAACAAGUAGAUAUGUUAUAAUUGUGUCGUCGGAAAGCGAAAAAGGUAACUCACAUCUUGGAAGAGCCUAUAGUUUCCU
Molecule: long non-coding RNA, 822 nt
Organism: Diabrotica virgifera virgifera (western corn rootworm)
Lineage: Eukaryota; Metazoa; Arthropoda; Insecta; Coleoptera; Chrysomelidae
Exons: 3
Source: RefSeq, a predicted model, not a curated record